UACGUAGGGGGCUAGCGUUGUCCGGAAUCAUUGGGCGUAAAGAGCGUGUAGGCGGCCCGGUAAGUCCGCUGUAAAAGUCAAAGGCUCAACCUUUGAAUGUCAGUGGAUACUGCCGGGCUAGAGUCCGGAAGAGGCGAGUGGAACUCCUGGUGUAGCGGUGGAAUGCGCAGAUAUCAGGAGGAACACCAGUGGCGAAGGCGGUUGCCUGGGGCUUUGCUGACGCUGAUGCGCGAAAGCGUGGGGAGCGAUCCGG
This 253-nucleotide ribosomal RNA is filed under the name uncultured bacterium. RNAcentral describes it as "partial 16S ribosomal RNA". It matches the Rfam family "Bacterial small subunit ribosomal RNA", at positions 524 to 776 of the family's 1533-position model. The record is from RNAcentral.